UACGUAGGGUGCGAGCGUUGUCCGGAAUUAUUGGGCGUAAAGAGCUCGUAGGCGGUUUGUCACGUCUGCUGUGAAAUCCCGAGGCUCAACCUCGGGCCUGCAGUGGGUACGGGCAGACUGGAGUGCGGGUAGGGGAGAAUGGAAUUCCUGGUGUAGCGGUGAAAUGCGCAGAUAUCAGGAAGAACACCCGUGGCGAAGGCGGCUCUCUGGGACGGUACUGACGCUGAGACGCGAAAAGCGUGGGGAGCGAACAGG
This 255-nucleotide ribosomal RNA is filed under the name uncultured bacterium. RNAcentral's name for it is "partial 16S ribosomal RNA". It matches the Rfam family "Bacterial small subunit ribosomal RNA", at positions 524 to 776 of the family's 1533-position model. The record is from RNAcentral.